UAGGCCCGGCCCGGGAAAAAAAUUCAUAGGCCCGAUCCAGCCCGGCCCGUUUUUUAAAUAAAUACCAAAAAUUUAUUUUAAAAAUUAAAACAAAAAUUAAAAAAAGUAUUUUAAAAAUAUUUUAAAAUUAAAAAAAAUUAAAAAAAUUUUUUAAAAUUUUUUUAAAAUUUAACAAAAUUUAAAAAAGUAUUUUAAAAGUAUUUUAAAAUAAAGAAAAUAAAAAAUAAUAAAAAUAUUUAUUAUAUUCGGGUCAGGCCUGGGCCAAAAAAGUUGUGCCCGAGGCCCGGCCCGUUUUUUAAUUGGGCCUCGUUUUUUUGCUCAAGCCCAUAUUUUGGGCCUAUAUUUUUACCCAAACCCUCCCAUAUUUCGGGCGGGCCGGGCCGCCUGGCCCAUGAGCACCUCUACUCCAACCUGCCAUGAGACUAGAAAAAGGAAACAUAUAAGGGUUAGGAUACAUAAAAAAGCUAGGAUACGCACUUGGCAUCAUCUGAAAAGGCUGUGUUGUGGGUAUCAUCGGUUGAACUACUGGGUCGGGUGACUGUGUUUUUGCUGUUGCUGGGCCUGAUAAAGUUAUGGGCACUGAUGAUGGGCCGGGUGAAUUUCUAGGCCUCGUUGAUGGGCUUGCGUCGCCGUCCCUUCUUCUUGGAUUUAAAGGGAUACGUUGUUCCCUUUGGACACGCAAUUGUCGCUGCCUCUCCUCUGGCGAGAGUAAAUAUGGCUUUCCAUUGAUCCUAAACCAUGGUAUGUAUUACGGCAUGCACGCUAAUUCUGGAAGGAUAAUCGGUUCCCGAAUAGGUAUAUAGUCAUACCAAUCUUCCCACAUUUGGAUGUAGUGUGACCAGAAUCUCAGCCAAUCCGUAUGCAAUUGCCGUAGGUCAAUUUUGUGAUGAUCAUCCAACACCUCAGGUGCCAGAGGAAUCGGUUGUCAGAAUCCAAAUUACCGUAAUACUCUGUUCGACUAGUGCAUCUCUACAGUCGCAAAGUUGACCAAUGAGACUUUCACAUGCCAACCGUUUCAAUUUUGGAAGUACUCAUCCAAAAUUACUGCCCGAAUUGCCGGAUCCUCGUAUAGUG
Molecule: long non-coding RNA, 1074 nt
Filed under: Gossypium raimondii (Peruvian cotton)
Lineage: Eukaryota; Viridiplantae; Streptophyta; Magnoliopsida; Malvales; Malvaceae
Description: long non-coding RNA (GRAI_LNC006816)
Source: RNAcentral